Molecule: long non-coding RNA, 359 nt
Organism: Coregonus clupeaformis (lake whitefish)
Lineage: Eukaryota; Metazoa; Chordata; Actinopteri; Salmoniformes; Salmonidae
Exons: 4
Source: RefSeq, a predicted model, not a curated record
CGUCUGUGGGUGAAUACAGACCUUGGCCGACUAGACGGGAAGGAGCCUCCCUCUGCUGUCAUCCUAAGGAGAUAUUCGUCAGGUGGAUAGUUGUUGCCAUGGCGGUACAGCCCCUGUACUGUGGGCCUUUGGUCAAGAGGGUAAUACAUAACUUUCCCCUGAAGCUGUCUGCCAUGAGAGAGGCCUUCAAUACCCUCCUGAGCAACAAGAAGUUCAUUAACUUCCUCCGUGACUGGAGCAAUGUAACUGGGUGGAUAGGCCAUUGCUGGCAGCAAGAACAGGAGAGAGUUCUACUCCCUCUAUGAAUAACUGCUGAUGUACGCCAGGGAUGAAACAAAUCCUACCUCAAUCGGCCAGGA